This 206-nucleotide ribosomal RNA is filed under the name uncultured bacterium. Its description in RNAcentral is "partial 16S ribosomal RNA". It matches the Rfam family "Bacterial small subunit ribosomal RNA", at positions 568 to 774 of the family's 1533-position model. The record is from RNAcentral.
AGCGCGGACGGUUGAUUAAGUCUGAUGUGAAAGCCCGGAGCUCAACUCCGGAAUGGCAUUGGAAACUGGUUAACUUGAGUGCAGUAGAGGUAAGUGGAACUCCAUGUGUAGCGGUGGAAUGCGUAGAUAUAUGGAAGAACACCAGUGGCGAAGGCGGCUUACUGGACUGUAACUGACGUUGAGGCUCGAAAGUGUGGUAGCAAACA